CAGCAGGCGCGAAAACUUUACAAUGCGGGAAACCGUGAUAAGGGGACACCGAGUGCCAGCAUCAUAUGCUGGCUGUCCAGGUGUGUAAAAUACACCUGUUAGCAAGGGCCGGGCAAGACCGGUGCCAGCCGCCGCGGUAACACCGGCGGCCCGAGUGGUGAUCGUGAUUAUUGGGUCUAAAGGGUCCGUAGCCGGUUUGGUCAGUCCUCCGGGAAAUCUGAUAGCUUAACUAUUAGGCUUUCGGAGGAUACUGCCAGACUUGGAACCGGGAGAGGUAAGAGGUACUACAGGGGUAGGAGUGAAAUCUUGUAAUCCCUGUGGGACCACCUGUGGCGAAGGCGUCUUACCAGAACGGGUUUGACGGUGAGGGACGAAAGCUGGGGGCACGAACCGGAUUAGAUACCCGGGUAGUCCCAGCCGUAAACGAUGCUCGCUAGGUGUCAGGCAUGGCGCGACCGUGUCUGGUGCCGCAGGGAAGCCGUGAAGCGAGCCACCUGGGAAGUACGGCCGCAAGGCUGAAACUUAAAGGAAUGGCGGGGGAGCAC
RNAcentral lists this ribosomal RNA (545 nucleotides) under uncultured archaeon. RNAcentral describes it as "bacterial SSU rRNA". It matches the Rfam family "Archaeal small subunit ribosomal RNA", at positions 333 to 879 of the family's 1478-position model. The record is from RNAcentral.